CUGAUCCAGCCAUGCCGCGUGUGUGAAGAAGGUCUUCGGAUUGUAAAGCACUUUAAGUUGGGAGGAAGGGCAGUAAGUUAAUACCUUGCUGUUUUGACGUUACCAACAGAAUAAGCACCGGCUAACUUCGUGCCAGCAGCCGCGGUAAUACGUAGGGUGCGAGCGUUAAUCGGAAUUACUGGGCGUAAAGCGGGCGCAGACGGUUACUUAAGCAGGAUGUGAAAUCCCCGGGCU
RNAcentral lists this ribosomal RNA (234 nucleotides) under Clostridioides difficile. RNAcentral's name for it is "partial 16S ribosomal RNA". It matches the Rfam family "Bacterial small subunit ribosomal RNA", at positions 383 to 609 of the family's 1533-position model. The record is from RNAcentral. Lineage: Bacteria; Bacillati; Bacillota; Clostridia; Peptostreptococcales; Peptostreptococcaceae.